AAACUGUCCUCAAUGUAAUAACCUUAGCUGUAGGCGUUGCAGUUUUGUGACGACCUUAGCCUCCGGGAAAUAAAAACAUUUAAUACGCGAAUAAUAAAUUGCUGUAUUUUGACGUAGGUUGGUUUCCAAAGAAAUAUUAUGGUGUUCACUCCCUCUCGAUUGUGAGUGACGCACUUCCCACUGUGUCCCGUUUUCUCGGAAUCUCGAGGAACACUAUCAAUUUUUUCGUAGUUUUCACUUCUCUACGCAACCUUCACCGUGGGGAAGCCCCGUCGGUUGUUAGUUCAUUGGUCACUUCCGGUUUCAAUUUCAGCCUGAAGAUUGAGAAAUUAAACACCGUAAGCUGAGAGUUCAUAUCGAGCUACAUCCUGCUUCAGAACAUUAGCUUAUAACUUUGCUGUUGUCGACGCAGUUUGAUUUUGUCUUCAUUCUGUUGAUCCCAACCGAGUGUUGAUGUUGUCGACGUAGUGUGUUUUGUCUUCAUUCUGUUGAUCCCAACCGGGUGGGAGAGUCCCCUCGUGUUUAUUUCAGUUUCUCACUUUCGGUUUCACUUUGAUCUCAAGAGCGUGACAUUAAAGACCAUUAAACAUCGCACGUUUGCUGUUUUCUGUGGUAAGUAUAACUACGCUUUUAUUGUGUCACCUUUACCUUAACGGUUGAGAAUAUUAUAAGGCCGCGACAUUCAAAGCGAAGAUAAGUAUAUAGCUGCGACAUCUGUAGGAAAGAUUAGUCGUAAACUCGAUGCUGUUUGGUUCUACGAUGUCGCGGUCUGUUAGAAUGGAAAUGAAGAAAUUCAUCCAUCAAAUCGUACAAACUAUAUAUUCUGUAGUGACUGACUGAAGAAUUAAAUUCACGAUUUCCCUUGUCUUGAAAAUGAGAAUGAAGAAUUAAAAAAGUCCGAGCAAGAUUCGCCGUUCUCGUCAGUAUUUUUGUGAAAGGAAGCUCAAAGUGGAAUCAAAAAGUCAGCAACAAAAUGUGAAUGAUUUUAAAAGCUAUUAAACCGCUGUCUCGUCUGUAUUUAGCAAAAAAGAAGAUAGCAAAGAAGCUACACACAUAAAAAUAUCUCUUUUCUUUAGCUGUUUUGCACAAUCGAUUUGCAUAUGUCAUUGUCUGCCCUCAUCUUGCAGGGGAAUUCCCUUUACUGUUAUUAUUACAGUUUCUUAGUUUUAGUUUUACUUGGAUGUCAAGAUGUUCUGGCUAAACACCGUAAAUUUACAUCGUGUUCAAACAUGAGUAUAUAUUUAGCCGUGACAUUUAUCAAAUCAGUAAGCUCGAGUUAAUCGAACACUCGAAUUUAUUUCCUUCCGUGAUGUCACGGUUUUCGAUGAAAUCGUACAAACUACGCUGUGUAGUGACUGAAAGAAAUAGUAUAUUCGCAUUCCCAAGUGUCUUGAGAAUGGUUAUAAGAAUUACAUUAGACUGAGCAAUAUCAGCUCGUCCUAACUUUCCGUUUUUGUCUCCAAAGCAUCAGUCUUUAAAGUGGAAAUGAAUCUGAAAGUUGUUAGACCGUUAUCUCGUCCGUAUUCAGUAAAGAGUAAAGAUAGCAAAAGGUGUAACACACCUUAGGAUAAUUUUUUUUUUCGUUGAUUUUAAUAAAUCCAUUUGUAUUUGUCAUUGUCUGCUCUUAUCUUGCAAGGAAAGUCCCUCAGUGUUUAUUUCAGAUUCUCACUUUCGGUUUCAAUUUCAGCCUGAAGAGCAAGAAAUUAAACAUCACAAGUUUAUAUCGAGCUACAUCCUGUUUCAAAGCAUGAGCUUACAACUAUGAGUAUAACGCGAUGUUAAAUACUAUUAAAUAAUCUUUACUGAGAUCGAGAAAUUUGCAUGGAUUGUGAAGGCUGGCAGAUCUUCACUUGGAAAAUUAAGUCAAACGAAUAAACGCUUGCAGGAAACAACGUUCGUCGGUAAAUAAUCCUAGCCACCUUAACGUUUUGAACCCUAUGUACAGAAUUUUGUAAACUUUCCAAAAGUAGCGUCGUAUCAUGCCUAUUAAAAUUUGAUAAUAAAAAAAUAAUUUACCGUGCUGUUUUUGAAUUAUAAGCACCUAAAGCUGUAAUGAAGGGUGUUUUUAGCAGGUCAAACUGUUGCUGUGGUAACUCAUUGUGUCACGCAAAUAUCGUGUUCACCAAUGAUUGAGCAGUUUUUUUGAUACUAUGAUUGUAGCAUCACGUGAUAAAGAGUGCUUAUAACGACCCAUCAAAAUCUAAGAGCUGGAAACUGUUUUGAGCCCCGUGAACUUUCUUUCCUUUCUACUUUUCUUGAAACAGUUGCUGUUGUCGACGUGGUUUGAUUUUGUCUUCAUUUUGUUGAUCCCAACCAGGUGGUGAGUACAAUUUUUUUUUUUUCUGUAUGUAGGCCUCGGCGAUUAACUUCGUUAUAUAAUGUGUCUUCUCGGAAUUUUGGGAUUUUCUCGUAUCACUGGAUUGUUUCCUAGUUUUCAGUUUUCAAAGCGAACUUCAUUGUGGUAAGUACCAACUUAACUUUUAUUGUGUGGUUUAAUCUUGACCAGUCGAGAAUAAUUUAAAGCCACGAUAGCGAAGAAGAGUAUAUAAGCGAGACAUCUACAGGGAAGAUUACCCGUGAACUCGAAAUUGUUUCGGUUCUAUGACGUCACGGUCUGUUGCAAUGGAAAUGACGAAGAAGUUUUAUCGAUCAAAUCGUGCAGACUAAAUUAUGUAGUCACAGACCGAGGAAUUAAAUUUACGAUUUCUCUUGUCUUGAGAUUGAGAGUAAAGACUUAGAAAAGGUCGAACGAGAUUCACAGUUAAAACUUCGCUAGUCUUUCUGUUACUACAAGCUCAAAGUCAAAGUCAACAAAAUGUAAAUGAUUUUAAAAGCUACUGGACCGUACUAUCUCGACGGUAUUUAACAAAAAAUAUGAAGAUAGGAAAGGAUGUAGCACGCAUUAGAAGAACUCUUUCAUUUAGUUAUUUUGCAGCUGCUCUAUUUGCAAAUGUGAUUGUCUGACCUCGUCUUGUACGGGAAUUCCCUCACUGUUAUUUCAGUUUCUUGAUUUUGGUUUAAACACCGUAAAUUUACAUCGUGCUUCAAAACAUGACGUUAUAACUCCGACAGAAAAGUCAAUAUUAAAUGCUAUUAAAUACUUUUUACUGCAAGAGAUUUGCACGGAUCGCGUGACAAAUUUUAUCUGGGUUACGAGCUCUAACAAUGAGUCACGCGAGAAGAUAAAGUCACGCGAAUAAGUGCUAAUGCUUAACUCCUUCUUUGUUAUUCUUGAAACAGUUGUUGCUGUUGUUAACGCGGUUUCAUUUUCGAUUAUCCUGUUGAUAUAAACAGACUGAGGAAAAGGUCCUGUUACUGACGUGUGUUAGUUUUGGUUUCACUCUGUUGACUCACCAAAACUAGAGAGUAUAAAACAAGUUUAGCUUUGUUAUUCAUAGCAGACUUAAAUCAUCACGUAAACUGUUCUCAUUCGAUCUAAUUUUUCAACACGAUGAAAGAACUCAAAUAAUCAUUUUGAUCCUGCUUUGGAAACUUUACGUUAACAAUCAGAGCCAGUUUCUAACCAUAUUUAGUGUAUGACGCUGUUGUGACUAUUUAAAAACAAAUAGAUGAAGCGUGAUUGAGAAGCCGAAAAGGCGUCCUCCAUGUCUCAUCAAGGAUUCCAAUUAAGGUAUAUUAAUGUGUUCAGUCAUUGAGUAGGAGUGAUUUGCUGGUAUUCUUCCCUAUUAGAGUUGGAACGUGGCCUACCAUAUCAGGCUCCCCAUAUCAGACCCCAACAUACAAUACGAGACCCCGACCUACCAUAUCAGACCCCAACGUACCAUAUCAGACCCCGAUCAUAUCAGGUCGGGUUUGACUGUUUUAUGUGUCGGGUUUAACUUUAUGUUAACUGUUGUGCUAAGUAAUACAGUAAUUCUUCAGUAGUGUACUGAAAUUAUCAUGAAAUAUGGCUAUUACGAAUGACAAACUGCAAGUUCACUGGAAGAGAAGGUCGCCAUUGCUGCAACUUCCUUUCUAGCCUAUAGACUUCACAGCAUCGCGGUUCUUAUCUGAUCACCGUAUUCUGGUACUAUUUUUUAGGAAAUAUAUAAAUUAGAAAUACUUUUAAAAUAUAUUUUUGAAGCAAGCAUCCGUCCCAAAACGUUCUAAGAUAAUUAUAU
This 4121-nucleotide long non-coding RNA is filed under the name Orbicella faveolata. Its description in RNAcentral is "uncharacterized LOC110046343, transcript variant X4". Lineage: Eukaryota; Metazoa; Cnidaria; Anthozoa; Scleractinia; Merulinidae. The record is from RNAcentral.